This 253-nucleotide ribosomal RNA is filed under the name uncultured bacterium. RNAcentral describes it as "partial 16S ribosomal RNA". It matches the Rfam family "Bacterial small subunit ribosomal RNA", at positions 524 to 776 of the family's 1533-position model. The record is from RNAcentral.
UACGUAGGGUGCAGGCGUUAAUCGGAAUUACUGGGCGUAAAGCGUGCGCAGGCGGUCUGCUAAGAGAGAUGUGAAAUCCCCGGGCUUAACCUGGGAACUGCGUUUCUAACUGGCAGGCUAGAGUGUGGCAGAGGGGGGUGGAAUUCCACGUGUAGCAGUGAAAUGCGCAGAUAUCAGGAAGAACACCCGUGGCGAAGGCGGCUCUCUGGAACGCAACUGACGCUGAGACGCGAAAGCGUGGGGAGCAAACAGG